RNAcentral lists this ribosomal RNA (325 nucleotides) under Staphylococcus epidermidis. RNAcentral's name for it is "partial 23S ribosomal RNA". It matches the Rfam family "Bacterial large subunit ribosomal RNA", at positions 54 to 372 of the family's 2925-position model. The record is from RNAcentral. Lineage: Bacteria; Bacillati; Bacillota; Bacilli; Caryophanales; Staphylococcaceae.
GGACGUUACUAACGACGAUAUGCUUUGGGUAGCUGUAAGUAAGCGUUGAUCCAGAGAUUUCCGAAUGGGGGAACCCAGCAUGAGUUAUGUCAUGUUAUCGACAUGUGAAUUUAUAGCAUGUCAGAAGGCAGACCCGGAGAACUGAAACAUCUUAGUACCCGGAGGAAGAGAAAGAAAAAUCGAUUCCCUGAGUAGCGGCGAGCGAAACGGGAAGAGCCCAAACCAACAAGCUUGCUUGUUGGGGUUGUAGGACACUCUAUACGGAGUUACAAAAGAACAUGUUAGACGAAUCAUCUGGAAAGAUGAAUCAAAGAAGGUAAUAAUC